UAUAUAUAUAUAUAUAAUAACAUCAUGGAGGACAGGAAGCAGGGAAUCAGAGAGAAAUAGGAAUGGAGUAGCUUAACCUAAAGAGUUUGCUUCAGAGAGAAUCACACAGAAUUAACACCGAUAUAUUCACAUUUUAAUGGAUACUGAAUUGUUAAAUAGGAUAUAGAUACAAAAAUGUGAAGAGAAGAAAAUUCUUUUUAUUUUUUUAUUUUUUUAUAUAUGUUUUUCUGAUCAGAUGUGACAGUUUCUAGAAUAUUUUUUUUAAAUAAGUUUUUGAAAUAAUAAGUUUUCUCAUAUUAAUCAUUUUUUAUGGGUAUUUCCUGUUUUUGUUGUUUGUUUUGGUUGGUCCUUUUUGCCAAGAAUUGAUUAUUGUGCCCAGUGCACCCUCUUUCAGCAGGUUCACAGCAGAGCGUGAGGUGGGACACCAGAGCUUCACCACCGUCCCUGGAAACAUGUUUCUCUGGUCGAGGUGGUUUUCAUUCAUGGCACAUUUAAUGACCGUUUUGUUUGUUUGUUUUUUUUCUCCUCUGCUCUCAGUUGGUUGUUGGUGUUGUCAGUGGUGUUGUGGUAGGUGGAUAAGUUGUGUGUUUGUCUGUCUAUCUCUCUUUCUCUCUCUGACAUGGCAUUAAUGUGUACACAUGUACAUUUGAACACAUGUUAAUGUUAAAGCCAUCUAUGGAUGAAUCCGAGUAAAUUCUUUAAUGUAUAAUUCUUUUAAAACAAUUUUAGACUCCUGCCAGAGGGAACGCCACCACAUUGUCCUGCAGAAACAUUUCUGCUGGUGAUAUUUACACGUACCCAGUGCCGUCUUAUAUACCAUCUGCUGUACUGUGGAACAAGGACUGUGAGCAAGAGUGUUACAAUGAGGAAGGGGAGUUUUUGUCAGAUGGACGACAACAAGCAAAUAAAACUGAGCACCUACUGGUUCUUAAUGAAACCAUAAACAUCGCAGUCUCUGAAUGCAUCAAUCUUCACCAUUCUGUGACCUGUCAUGGAUCAAAUGAAAAGUUUAAACACACUUACCGAGUGAUCAAUGACACGAUCUCAAGCCAAGAUGUUCCUAAGCAGCAAACCGAUCGCACCACCACCAUCGUCUCUGUCGUCAUUCCGAUUGGACUCCUGCUGAUUGGACUCCUGAUUAGUGUCCUGAUAUGUCUCCACAAAAAACGAAGAUUGAGAAUUGGAGUCUGGGGGAAACGGUUGAGUGGCUGCUGUCAACAAACAGAUGAGACUAAGGAAUCAGACAUCCCACUGGAGGACAUUACAGCAAGAAACACGGAAGGUGAAGCUCAACUGAACACCUCAAAUACUGAAAACAUGGACCCUGGUGAUACGAGCGCUAACGGCGAUGUUCAAACUGAAGAAGCUCGACCACUCCAACCAUAUCCUUACAGUUGAUGUGUGCAGAGUCGUCGAGAGCGAGUGAGGAUUACGGUUCGGCUUCAGAACUUCUCUCCAGUCUGCUUCUGCCUUUUCUUCAGUCGCACUUUCCCUACACUUUUGCAUCUGGGACACUUUGAAAGUAAAAUUAAGUAGUUAAACUGAGACCGUGGUAUUAUAGGGCUCUACAUAAAAGUGCCAAAUUUUUAAUCAUGACAAAGCAGAUCAAAUUUUUAUACUUUAAUAGUGUUUUGGUGUAAAAAAUAUAUUUUCAUAUAUAUUACUUGCUAUAAAAAUAACAUUUAUAAGAACUAAUUUUUGCCAAAGAAAGGGAAGCUCAAACCAAAGAACCCCAAGAAAAAAAAAAAAACACUUUUCUGCACUUUAAAACACUGCACAUCCUUCUGCACUUUUGUUAUGCUCUACCCUUUUAACUGUGACGAUAGCUGGGGCUGGGCAGCUUCGAGUUGUCAACACUCACCUGAUUGCGCUCCUGGUUUUGACUGCUUCAUCCGAUCCGUGUUUUACUCUGCUAUUUCCGGUAUUGAACUGUGCCAGUUGUGACUAUGAACUUGAUCUUUGCCUUGAUUUUUGUUGGCUACGUAGCUACUGUGUGUGGGAGGCUGCACCAGAACAUCUCUACUACCCUACUACACAGUAGAUGAAAAGCAGUACACCAAAGGAGGAGCAUCUCAGAAUUCUCAGCAUUCAUACAACAGUAUUUAAGAAAUCCCCAGAUGACCUACUGCUUCCCCCGAGAUUCUGCAGUGUGGAAUAACUGGACACUGUGCUAUCCCAUAAUGCAACGUGGCAUGGAAGAGCUGUCAGAAUCAAACCUGGCGCAUCGGCUUUUUAAGCUGUAGGUCACAUGACUAUGCCAACCUGGUGGCUGUAGUGCUUAUAAGCCCUUUCCUUAACUUGCACUGUGGGGCCAAACCUUAGACUGGGUUGUCAUCAACACUACUCUACGUCAUUGAAUCAACGCUAUAGAGAGCACAGCUGGUGGCUUCAUCAGCAGCCCAGUGCUUGUUCCUUUUUAUUUUCUCAUUGUGAUUGACCUUUGCUAUCUCCUUUAUUUUUUAUGUCUGUAAUUUUUUUUGUGCAUGUGUAAAUUUGUUAGCAUUCUUUAUAUACUGUUACCAGGUGUAGGGUUCAGCUGCCAUUUCUUUCUGGGUUUUGUCUGUUUUAUUUUAUUUUUAUUUAUUUUAUAUUACCAAUAUUGCACAAGUAUGUGUGUAUGUAAUUCAUAAACCGAAGUAUUCUUAGUAGUCUUUUUUUCUUUUUCUUUAGCCAUCCAUCUUUUAUCCCAGUCAAACCUAUCCUGUUAUCUUCAACCCUAGACUGGGGUGCAUCACUGUCCUCCAUUCCAGAAAAUCUGAGACAGCAACAAAAGAGAGACAAUUUUUAGAAAGUAACAAGUCUGUUUUUACAGAAGGAAGGGAAUUGGUGGCGCAACCUAUCAUAACCCUGUAACAGGAAGUCUUAUUUCUGCCCCCAUAAUGGUGAAAUUUAACUUGGCUCAGGAGCAGAUCGAGUGGAAAGUAAAGUGCACAUGUCUCAGUGCUUCUGAUAUUUUAACAAAAAUAUAUUUGGACGCUCAAUUCGUUACCCCACUCUCACUAAUAAACUCUCUCUGUGUGUGUGUAUGUGUGAGAGCAAGAGAGAGAUUGAUAACACCUGUCUGUUCAGAUCUGUGACACAAGUUAGUAAGAAAAUAAAGUUGAUAAUAAGUAAGCAAGAGGGAGGUUUCAUACUUGACCAAAAUUGAGG
Ictalurus punctatus (channel catfish) is the source of this 3150-nucleotide long non-coding RNA. The record is from Ensembl. NCBI's taxonomy places the organism in Eukaryota, Metazoa, Chordata, Actinopteri, Siluriformes, Ictaluridae.